Molecule: ribosomal RNA, 245 nt
Filed under: uncultured bacterium
Lineage: Bacteria
Description: partial 16S ribosomal RNA
Rfam family: Bacterial small subunit ribosomal RNA
Source: RNAcentral
UACGUAGGGGGCAAGCGUUGUCCGGAUUUAUUGGGCGUAAAGGGUCCGCAGGCGGUUGGGGAAGUUUGACGUGACAGUUCCCGGCUCAACUGGGGAAGUGCGUUGGAAACUGCCCGACUUGAGGGCUUCAGAGGGAUGCGGAAUUCCGGGUGGAGUGGUGAAAUGCGUAGAUAUCCGGAGGAACACCAAAGGCGAAGGCAGCAUCCUGGGAAGCACCUGACGCUCAGGGACGAAAGCCAGGGGAG